AUCUGAGACCCAGCAAGCAGAUGAACUCUCAAGGAACCAGAAGAGAGGAGGGUCCUCAGGCUGCCUGAAUAUGAAGACAUUGGCCAAGGGAGGGUUUAGCAAGAAUUCAGGCGUGUGCUGAGGGAAUCUGUCCUCGGGGAGUUCAUCCUGGAGAGGGGCCUGUUCUGGCAGAAGCCCUAGCCCCUAGCCUGCUGUCUGGCUUGGAAGAAGCACACGGGAAGUGUUGAACUGAAUUCCAAAUCAGGAGGUGAAGAUGGUUCUCCUCUGAGGUCUGCAUUGCUGAGGCCUCAGGCAUGUGACAGAGGCUGGCUUUGGAAAGGAAGGUCUCGAGUUUGUUCUGGCCCUGCUGAGUUUUGGAUCCUCAGGACUGUCAGGUUCUUCCUGACUUGCAGAUGGUCACCUUCUUGCAGUGUCCUCACAUAGUGGAGCAAGAGAAAGAUGAUGAAAGCAAGGCCCAGAGACACCAAGUAACCUGCAAGCCCACACCACACAGCUAGAAACGGUGGAGACAGCGGAGCCUGGCUCCUGGUCACUGUGCGUGUCAUCCUGGUUCCCAGCAUCAGCAGAUGUGUGUGAGGGAGGGAAACGGUCCUCAGUGACUCACAAGUCAGGGGUAGCUAACACUUUAGGAUACUAACACCCCCACCAAGUAGAAGAAGUUAGCUGCAUGCCGGCCACAAGCACAUAGAACGCAGACUGAUUUGAAUCAGAAGUUUGAUGAUGUUGACUCCUGAUUACCUCACCACCAACCAAUCAGAAAAAUGUCUAUGAGCUGAUCACGUACGCCACAACCUUCUCCCUCACCCUGUCUUUAAAAGCCUUUCCCUGAAAGCCAUCAGGGAGUUCAGAUCGUUUCAGCAUUAGCUGUCCAUACUCCUUGCAUGGACUUGCAAUAGAUGCUGCACUUCCCUUUGCCGCUACCCGGUGUCAGUAGAUUGACUUUACUGUGAAUGGGUGAGUGAACCCAAAUUUGGUUUGGUAACAAUUUUACCUUGAUUUUUUUCUUUUGUUCAUUUCCCUGUGAAAUUAGUUCUCCUGCACAUUAGGACACAUGGUUCAGGAUAGUUUUCUAACUUCAUGGAGCUCCCUCCUCUAUUGUUUCUGUGAAGCAUUCUAAAAAGUGGUGGCUUGGUCUCUGACAUUUCCUGCUCUACCACCGCUCUUUCAGAGCUCAGUCACUAUUGGAUUGGGCAAAACCCCUUCCAGUUUCAUCUGCUGUCCUCAGUGGCCUGCUGAACUUCCAGUAAAUACCUAUUGGCAAUUCUGUUGUUCUCCUGUUUUCAAGUUGUCAGAUAUCCACUUGUUUUCCUUUGCUUCCCCCACACCGACCCCAAUAGCAUGUGGGUGUCGUGAUCCAGUAUUUUGUCCUCACCCCACUGGUACUUUGGGUUCAUAGGGAUAAUUUGGCACUUAAUUUUGUUAUAAAUACUGUUGAUGAGAUUUUUCUGUCUAGUUGCUAUGGUUGUUUCUAUGAGGAGAAUUGAGUAAAAACUCUUCCACCAACACCAACCUCCCAGAAUCCUUGACUAAACUUUCAAAUGCAAAAUAAUAAAUAAGUAAAUAAAUAAAAUAAAAUCGGGGCGGGGAUUGUAAAAAUCUUAGUUAAAAAUACAGGUGAAUUAUUUCGUAAUCUUGAGGUGCAAAAGGUCUUUCUAAACAUAGUAUUAACCAAACAUUAAAGAAACAAAAAAGAAAAAUUAUGUAUUUGACUACGUAAAAAUUAGGUAUCUGUGUACAAAAUCCAGCAUAGACAAAACGAAAGACAAAACAUAAACAGGAGCAAAUGUGUAGUUCAUGAGAAAAGAAUACUAUUCUUAACAUGUGUACUCUUACACAUUAAUUUUAAAAAUUAACUCCCAAUUCAUAAGAAAUAAGAGGAAUGAGAAAUUACAAAAAAACAUAAAUUAACAAUCGUUUUAAGAGUAUGGGAUUUUUAAUUUAAAAAAAUAAUCGGCAUAACUUUUCUGGAGGGCAAUUUGGUAAUGUAUGUGUAAAACCCCUUAAAAAAAUUCCCUCUUACCCAGUAAUAAUACUUUAAGAAUUUAUCCUGUGGAAAUAAUCACUCAAUUGUUGCAAAGACGUAUAAAGGAGGUUCAUGAAAGCAUUGUAUUAUAUGAGAAAUGUUGAAAAAAAUCUAAAUGUGAUUCAUUCAUUGAGGGGUUUGUUAAAUCAUUGUUAGUUGAAAUAAUGGGACACGUCUCAGUCAUUACAAAUGAUGACAUAGGGCUAAAUUUGACAUGGAGAGAAGUCAAUGAUAUAUUGAGUGAAAAGCAAAAAAAUUUAAAACGGCCAUCAUAAUGUGGUAAUACGAAGACAUUAUUUGUUCAAAAUAUAAGCAUGUGUUAAUGUAUAGGAAAAUUCUGGUUGGAUACUAUAAGAAAUGUCGACUGGUUUCCUGGGGCAACGUGGGCCGCCUACUGGAGGGGUGGGUAACAUGCACAGCUUUCACUGCUUUCUACCCUGCCCAGAUGAAUGUGUAUCAUAUUUACAAUCUGAAAAAAUAUUCCGUUGAAAAUUUACAAGGCCACCUUCUGUAAUUAUGAGGCCUGAUUUAUCCACCCUCUUCCUGAACUCAUGUUUGUAGCCUACAGUCUCUAUCACACAAUGUGAGACUGAAUCACAUGCCUUAGUCAUGUGUUAGUCACUAAUGGCUUCAUGAAUGUUACUCAAGUCUUGCCUACCUUCAAUGAAAGCUCGAGACUGAAGGUU
Hippopotamus amphibius kiboko is the source of this 2709-nucleotide long non-coding RNA. RefSeq lists it as uncharacterized. The transcript is spliced from 5 exons. The record is from RefSeq and is a predicted model, not a curated record. NCBI's taxonomy places the organism in Eukaryota, Metazoa, Chordata, Mammalia, Artiodactyla, Hippopotamidae.